UGCCAGCAGCCGCGGUAAUACGGAGGUGGCAAGCGUUGCUCGGAAUUACUGGGCAUAAAGGGCGUCUAGGCGGAUCGGUUAGUCGGCUGUGAAAUCCCUCGGCUUAACCGAGGAAGUGCAGCCGAUACUGCUGGUCUUGAGGGCGAGAGGGGAGAGUGGAACUCCUGGUGGAGCGGUGAAAUGCGUAGAUAUCAGGAGGAACGCCGGUGGCGAAAGCGACUCUCUGGCUCGUCCCUGACGCUGAAGCGCGAAAACUAGGGGAGCGAACGGGAUUAGAUA
This 279-nucleotide ribosomal RNA is filed under the name uncultured bacterium. RNAcentral describes it as "partial 16S ribosomal RNA". It matches the Rfam family "Bacterial small subunit ribosomal RNA", at positions 506 to 784 of the family's 1533-position model. The record is from RNAcentral.